GAUGAACGCUGGCGGCGUGCUUAACACAUGCAAGUCGAACGAAGCACUUUAUUUGAUUUCCUUCGGGACUGAUUAUUUUGUGACUGAGUGGCGGACGGGUGAGUAACGCGUGGGUAACCUGCCUUGUACAGGGGGAUAACAGUUGGAAACGGCUGCUAAUACCGCAUAAGCGCACAGCAUCGCAUGAUGCAGUGUGAAAAACUCCGGUGGUAUAAGAUGGACCCGCGUUGGAUUAGCUAGUUGGUGAGGUAACGGCCCACCAAGGCGACGAUCCAUAGCCGACCUGAGAGGGUGACCGGCCACAUUGGGACUGAGACACGGCCCAAACUCCUACGGGAGGCAGCAGUGGGGAAUAUUGCACAAUGGGCGAAAGCCUGAUGCAGCGACGCCGCGUGAGCGAAGAAGUAUUUCGGUAUGUAAAGCUCUAUCAGCAGGG
RNAcentral lists this ribosomal RNA (436 nucleotides) under uncultured bacterium. RNAcentral describes it as "bacterial SSU rRNA". It matches the Rfam family "Bacterial small subunit ribosomal RNA", at positions 28 to 444 of the family's 1533-position model. The record is from RNAcentral.